GGAAGGGGUGUAUUUAUUAGAUUAAAAACCAAUGCCCCUCGGGGCUCUCUGGUGAUUCAUAAUAACUUCUCGAAUCGCACGGCCUUGCGCCGGCGAUGGUUCAUUCAAAUUUCUGCCCUAUCAACUUUCGACGGCUGGGUCUUGGCCAGCCGUGGUGACAACGGGUAACGGGGAAUUAGGGUUUGAUUCCGGAGAAGGAGCCUGAGAAACGGCUACUACAUCCAAGGAAGGCAGCAGGCGCGCAAAUUACCCAAUCCCGACUCGGGGAGGUAGUGACAAUAAAUACUGAUACAGGGCUCUUUUGGGUCUUGUAAUUGGAAUGAGUACAAUUUAAAUCCCUUAACGAGGAACAAUUGGAGGGCAAGUCUGGUGCCAGCAGCCGCGGUAAUUCCAGCUCCAAUAGUGUAUAUUAAAGUUGUUGAGGUUAAAAAGCUCGUAGUUGAACCUUGGGCCCGGCCGGCCGGUCUCCCUCACCGGAUGCCACUGGCUCGGCUGGGCCUUUCCUUCUGGAGAACCCCAUGCCCUUCACUGGGUGUGGCGGGGAACCAGGACUUUUAC
RNAcentral lists this ribosomal RNA (558 nucleotides) under uncultured Ascomycota. RNAcentral's name for it is "SSU rRNA". It matches the Rfam family "Eukaryotic small subunit ribosomal RNA", at positions 194 to 755 of the family's 1831-position model. The record is from RNAcentral. Lineage: Eukaryota; Fungi; Ascomycota.